GAGACAGCAGUAGCCACGGUAAUACGAAGGGGGCUAGCGUUACUCGGAAUUACUGGGCGUAAAGGGCUCGCAGGCGGUUUCUUAAGUCUGAUGUGAAAGCCCCCGGCUCAACCGGGGAGGGUCAUUGGAAACUGGGAAACUUGAGUGCAGGAGAGGAGAGUGGAAUUCCACGUGUAGCGGUGAAAUGCAUAGAGAUGUGGAGGAACACCAGUGGCGAAGGCGACUCUCUGGUCUGUAACUGACGCUGAGGAGCGAAAGCGUGGGGAGCGAACAGGAUUAGAUACCCCAGUAGUCCCUGUCUCUUAUAC
Molecule: ribosomal RNA, 308 nt
Filed under: uncultured bacterium
Lineage: Bacteria
Description: partial 16S ribosomal RNA
Rfam family: Bacterial small subunit ribosomal RNA
Source: RNAcentral